This 497-nucleotide ribosomal RNA is filed under the name uncultured bacterium. RNAcentral describes it as "partial 16S ribosomal RNA". It matches the Rfam family "Bacterial small subunit ribosomal RNA", at positions 28 to 507 of the family's 1533-position model. The record is from RNAcentral.
GAUGAACGCUGGCGGCGUGCCUAAUACAUGCAAGUAGAACGCUGAAGGAAGGAGCUUGCUCUUUCUGGAUGAGUUGCGAACGGGUGAGUAACGCGUAGGUAACCUGCCUGGUAGCGGGGGAUAACUAUUGGAAACGAUAGCUAAUACCGCAUAACAGUAGAUGUUGCAUGAUAUCUACUUAAAAGGUGCAAUUGCACCACUACCAGAUGGACCUGCGUUGUAUUAGCUAGUUGGUGAGGUAACGGCUCACCAAGGCGACGAUACAUAGCCGACCUGAGAGGGUGAUCGGCCACACUGGGACUGAGACACGGCCCAGACUCCUACGGGAGGCAGCAGUAGGGAAUCUUCGGCAAUGGACGGAAGUCUGACCGAGCAACGCCGCGUGAGUGAAGAAGGUUUUCGGAUCGUAAAGCUCGGUUGUAAGAGAAGAACGAGUGUGAGAGUGGAAAGUUCACACUGUGACGGUAUCUGACCAGAAAGGGACGGCUAACUACGUG